UGCCGCCUCACGUGCAACACGUGCGAGCCGUAGAAGAAGAACCAAAAGGCGCAGGGCUCCAUCCUCGGCUCUUCGCUUACCUACGAUACCGGAAAUGGACGAUGAUGAUGACAGCGGAGAGCUAGAGGAUCACUAUGACGAUUCAUCAGACUUUGAAUAUGAGAGUGACACUUCCCCAAGUUGUAAGU
Dermacentor albipictus is the source of this 188-nucleotide long non-coding RNA. RefSeq lists it as uncharacterized. The record is from RefSeq and is a predicted model, not a curated record. Lineage: Eukaryota; Metazoa; Arthropoda; Arachnida; Ixodida; Ixodidae.